Molecule: ribosomal RNA, 34 nt
Filed under: Anopheles hyrcanus
Lineage: Eukaryota; Metazoa; Arthropoda; Insecta; Diptera; Culicidae
Also listed under: 1 other name
Description: partial 5.8S ribosomal RNA
Source: RNAcentral
CGUGGGAACCUACCAUGAUGUACACAUACUUGAG